CCUGUACCUAAGUUAUAGGAUUGUUAGUUAUAGCUUUGCAUUAUGGUCUUUCGUGGAUUUCUUACUUUCAUUCAUUUUCUAUACUUAUUAUUCACUGAGUCGGUAGUACUCACCUCUACUCCCUGCACCUUGUGUUCUUACUUUCAGUCAUUUUCUAUACUUAUUAUUCACUGAGUCGGUAGUAAUCACCUCUACUCCCUGCACCUUGUGUGCAGAUUCAGGUACACCGGAGGCUUAGCUGAUUCUCGUAGUCUCUUGAGAUAUUUUCCGAGUCGUUGAGGUAGCUGCAUGACGUUCGCAGGACCUGUCUACUCUUCAUUAUUUCUUUAUUUUAAUAUUAUUAUAUACUUUCCCAGAUUUUGGUUUUGGUAUUCAGAUACUAUUAUUAUUACUCACUUUUGUUUAGAAGCUCUAGACUCGUAAACCCGCAGAUCAUAUGGGUGUGUCUUCGAUUUCCGUAUUUACUUAUAUUACAUUAUUAAUAUUCUUGGAUUAUUUUUUUUUUAAUUCUCGGUUUGAGACUUAAAUGUUACGUUGGAAGCGAUUGUUGGUCAGGCUUACCUAGCUUUAGGGCUAGGUGCCAUCACGACCGGGUUUGGGUCGUGACAAGUUGGUGACAUCACGACCGAGUUUGUGGUUGAUGUUCAGGCCUUUUCCAAUUAGAUGGUGAGGUUAGAUAUUUCUGAUCCCAGUGGGGUGUUGGAGAGUGUGGUUUCCCGGUCUUCUUUGUAUGACCGCAUCAGAGAGAGGCAGUAUGAUGACCCGCAUUUGCUUGUCCUGAAGGACAAGGUCCAGCAUGAUGAUGCCAUAGAUGUGACCAUUGGAUAUGAUGGUGUAUCGCGGAUGCAGGGCCGGAUUUGCGUGCCCAAUGUGGAUGGUCUCCGGGAAUUGAUUUUAGAGGAGGCUCACAGCUCGCGGUAUUUGAUUCAUCCGGCUGCCGCGAAGAUAUACUAGGAUUUGAGACAACAUCACUGGUGGAGGAGAAUUAAAAAGGACAUUGUGAAUUACGUAGCUUAGUGUCUCAACUGUCAGCAAGUCAAAUACGAGCACCAGAGACCGGUGGUGUACUCCAGCGGAUGGAUAUCUCGGAGUUGAAAUAGGAAAACAUUACUAUGUAUUUUUGAGUGGUCUUCCUCAUACCUCGAAGAAGUUUGAUUCGGUUUGGGUGAUUGUGGAUAGGCUGACUAAGUCUGCGCACAUAUCCGGCAGAGAAGUUAGCAGAGAUUUUCAUUUAGGAGAUUGUACGGUUGCAUGGGGUCCUGGUUUCCAUUGUAUCAUAUAGGGGUACCGUGUUUACUUCCCAGUUCUGGAGGACUUUUCAUCGGGAGUUGNNN
Molecule: long non-coding RNA, 1334 nt
Filed under: Nicotiana benthamiana
Lineage: Eukaryota; Viridiplantae; Streptophyta; Magnoliopsida; Solanales; Solanaceae
Description: long non-coding RNA (NBEN_LNC020174)
Source: RNAcentral